This 497-nucleotide ribosomal RNA is filed under the name uncultured bacterium. Its description in RNAcentral is "partial 16S ribosomal RNA". It matches the Rfam family "Bacterial small subunit ribosomal RNA", at positions 28 to 507 of the family's 1533-position model. The record is from RNAcentral.
GAUGAACGCUGGCGGCGUGCCUAAUACAUGCAAGUCGAGCGAACAGAUGAGGAGCUUGCUCCUCUGACGUUAGCGGCGGACGGGUGAGUAACACGUGGAUAACCUACCUAUAAGACUGGGAUAACUUCGGGAAACCGGAGCUAAUACCGGAUAAUAUAUUGAACCGCAUGGUUCAAUAGUGAAAGACGGUUUUGCUGUCACUUAUAGAUGGAUCCGCGCCGCAUUAGCUAGUUGGUAAGGUAACGGCUUACCAAGGCAACGAUGCGUAGCCGACCUGAGAGGGUGAUCGGCCACACUGGAACUGAGACACGGUCCAGGCUCCUACGGGAGGCAGCAAUAGGGAAUCUUCCGCAAUGGGCGAAAGCCUGACGGAGCAACGCCGCGUGAGUGAUGAAGGUCUUCGGAUCGUAAAACUCUGUUAUUAGGGAAGAACAAAUGUGUAAGUAACUAUGCACGUCUUGACGGUACCUAAUCAGAAAGUCACGGCUAACUACGUG